RNAcentral lists this ribosomal RNA (450 nucleotides) under uncultured bacterium. Its description in RNAcentral is "partial 16S ribosomal RNA". It matches the Rfam family "Bacterial small subunit ribosomal RNA", at positions 29 to 523 of the family's 1533-position model. The record is from RNAcentral.
AGCGAACGCUGGCGGCAGGCCUAACACAUGCAAGUCGAACGAACUCUUCGGAGUUAGUGGCGGACGGGUGAGUAACACGUGGGAACGUGCCUUUAGGUUCGGAAUAACUCAGGGAAACUUGUGCUAAUACCGAAUGUGCCCUUCGGGGGAAAGAUUUAUCGCCUUUAGAGCGGCCCGCGUCUGAUUAGCUAGUUGGUUGGGGUAAUGGCCCACCAAGGCGACGAUCAGUAGCUGGUCUGAGAGGAUGACCAGCCACAUUGGGACUGAGACACGGCCCAAACUCCUACGGGAGGCAGCAGUGGGGAAUCUUGCGCAAUGGGCGAAAGCCUGACGCAGCCAUGCCGCGUGUAUGAUGAAAGUCUUAGGAUUGUAAAAUACUUUCACCGGUGAAGGUAAUGACUGUAGCCGGAGAAGAAGCCCCGGCUAACUUCGUGCCAGCCGCCGCCGUAA